This 492-nucleotide ribosomal RNA is filed under the name uncultured bacterium. RNAcentral describes it as "partial 16S ribosomal RNA". It matches the Rfam family "Bacterial small subunit ribosomal RNA", at positions 29 to 507 of the family's 1533-position model. The record is from RNAcentral.
AGUGAACGCUGGCGGUAUGCCUAAUACAUGCAAGUCGAACGGCCACAUAGUAAGCUCUUUCUCUUACCGUUAGCGAGUGGCGGACGAGUGAGAAGUACAUCACAUUCUUCUUUUUCUUGGGUAAUUACGUAGGAACAGUUAUGCUACUGCCUCAUACUUCCUACCGGUUAAUGCAGGAGAUCUUCGUGCCUUUCCUGUUUCUAUUAGCCGGUGUCGGAUUAGCUAGUUGGCAUGGUAAGGGCCCACCAAGGCAACGAUCCGUAGCUGGUCUGAGAGGAUGAUCAGCCACACUGGAACUGAGACACGGUCCAGACUCCUACGGGAGGCAGCAGUAGGGAAUAUUGGGCAAUGGGCGAAAGCCUGAUGCAGCAACGCCGCGUGAGUGAAGAAGGCCUUCGGGUUGUAAAACCCUGUUGUUAGGGAAGAAAAGAAGUGGAAGAAAACCCCGAUGUUUUGACGGUACCCAAAGAAAAAGCAACGGCUAACUUCGUG